RNAcentral lists this ribosomal RNA (404 nucleotides) under uncultured Rhodospirillales bacterium. RNAcentral describes it as "bacterial SSU rRNA". It matches the Rfam family "Bacterial small subunit ribosomal RNA", at positions 355 to 776 of the family's 1533-position model. Lineage: Bacteria; Pseudomonadati; Pseudomonadota; Alphaproteobacteria; Rhodospirillales. The record is from RNAcentral.
UGGGGAAUAUUGGACAAUGGGGGCAACCCUGAUCCAGCAAUGCCGCGUGGGUGAUGAAGGCCUUCGGGUUGUAAAGCCCUUUUGGCGGGGACGAUGAUGACGGUACCCGCAGAAGAAGCCCCGGCUAACUUCGUGCCAGCAGCCGCGGUAAUACGAAGGGGGCUAGCGUUGUUCGGAAUGACUGGGCGUAAAGGGCGCGUAGGCGGUCUGAAUCGUCGGGUGUGAAAGGCCUGGGCUUAACCUGGGAACUGCAUUCGAUACGGUCGGACUGGAGUGUGGGAGAGGUUGGUGGAAUUCCCAGUGUAGAGGUGAAAUUCGUAGAUAUUGGGAAGAACACCGGUGGCGAAGGCGGCCAACUGGACCACAACUGACGCUGAGGCGCGAAAGCGUGGGGAGCAAACAGG